RNAcentral lists this ribosomal RNA (503 nucleotides) under uncultured bacterium. RNAcentral's name for it is "partial 16S ribosomal RNA". It matches the Rfam family "Bacterial small subunit ribosomal RNA", at positions 30 to 523 of the family's 1533-position model. The record is from RNAcentral.
AUUGAACGCUGGCGGCAGGCUUAACACAUGCAAGUCGAGCGGGGUGAUGGUGCUUGCACUAUCACUUAGCGGCGGACGGGUGAGUAAUGCUUAGGAAUCUGCCUAUUAGUGGGGGACAACAUCUCGAAAGGGAUGCUAAUACCGCAUACGUCCUACGGGAGAAAGCAGGGGAUCACUUGUGACCUUGCGCUAAUAGAUGAGCCUAAGUCGGAUUAGCUAGUUGGUGGGGUAAAGGCCUACCGAGGCGACGAUCUGUAGCGGGUCUGAGAGGAUGAUCCGCCACACUGGGACUGAGACACGGCCCAGACUCCUACGGGAGGCAGCAGUGGGGAAUAUUGGACAAUGGGGGGGACCCUGAUCCAGCCAUGCCGCGUGUGUGAAGAAGGCCUUAUGGUUGUAAAGCACUUUAAGCGAGGAGGAGGCUCUUUUGGUUAAUACCCAAGAUGAGUGGACGUUACUCGCAGAAUAAGCACCGGCUAACUCUGUGCCAGCCGCCGCUGUAA